AACUGCGAAUGGCUCAUUAAAUCAGUUAUCGUUUAUUUGAUAGUACCUUGCUACAUGGAUACCUGUGGUAAUUCUAGAGCUAAUACAUGCUAAAAAGCCCGACUUCGGAAGGGCUGUAUUUAUUAGAUAAAAAACCAACGCCCUUCGGGGCUCCUUGGUGAAUCAUAAUAACUUAACGAAUCGCAUGGCCUUGCGCCGGCGAUGGUUCAUUCAAAUUUCUGCCCUAUCAACUUUCGAUGGUAGGAUAGUGGCCUACCAUGGUGGCAACGGGUAACGGGGAAUUAGGGUUCGAUUCCGGAGAGGGAGCCUGAGAAACGGCUACCACAUCCAAGGAAGGCAGCAGGCGCGCAAAUUACCCAAUCCCGACACGGGGAGGUAGUGACAAUAAAUACUGAUACGGGGCUCUUUCGGGUCUCGUAAUCGGAAUGAGUACGAUUUAAAUACCCUAACGAGGAACAAUUGGAGGGCAAGUCUGGUGCCAGCAGCCGCGGUAAUUCCAGCUCCAAUAGCGUAUAUUAAAGUUGUUGCAGUUAAAAAGCUCGUAGUUGAACCUUGGGUCUGGCUGGCCGGUCCGCCUCACCGCGAGUACUGGUCCGGCCGGACCUUUCCUUCUGGGGAACCUCAUGGCCUUUACUGGCUGUGGGGGGAACCAGGACUUUUACUGUGAAAAAAUUAGAGUGUUCAAAGCAGGCCUUUGCUCGAAUACAUUAGCAUGGAAUAAUAGAAUAGGACGUGCGGUUCUAUUUUGUUGGUUUCUAGGACCGCCGUAAUGAUUAAUAGGGAUAGUCGGGGGCGUCAGUAUUCAGCUGUCAGAGGUGAAAUUCUUGGAUUUGCUGAAGACUAACUACUGCGAAAGCAUUCGCCAAGGAUGUUUUCAUUAAUCAGGGAACGAAAGUUAGGGGAUCGAAGACGAUCAGAUACCGUCGUAGUCUUAACCAUAAACUAUGCCGACUAGGGAUCGGACGGGUUUCUAUGAUGACCCGUUCGGCACCUUACGAGAAAUCAAAGUUU
Molecule: ribosomal RNA, 1011 nt
Filed under: Monascus argentinensis
Lineage: Eukaryota; Fungi; Ascomycota; Eurotiomycetes; Eurotiales; Aspergillaceae
Description: SSU rRNA
Rfam family: Eukaryotic small subunit ribosomal RNA
Source: RNAcentral